This is a non-coding RNA of Daphnia pulex (common water flea), 72 nucleotides long. The record is from Rfam. NCBI's taxonomy places the organism in Eukaryota, Metazoa, Arthropoda, Branchiopoda, Diplostraca, Daphniidae.
CCAAUGGUGGUAUAGUGGUUAGCAUAAUUGCCUUCCAAGCAAUUGACCCGAGUUCGGUUCUCGGCUAUCGCA